RNAcentral lists this ribosomal RNA (497 nucleotides) under uncultured bacterium. RNAcentral describes it as "partial 16S ribosomal RNA". It matches the Rfam family "Bacterial small subunit ribosomal RNA", at positions 28 to 507 of the family's 1533-position model. The record is from RNAcentral.
GAUGAACGCUGGCGGCGUGCCUAAUACAUGCAAGUCGAGCGAACAGACGAGGAGCUUGUUCCUUUGACGUUUGCGGCGCACGUGUGAGUAACACGUGGAUAACCUACCUAUAAGACUGGGAUAACUUCGGGAAACCGGAGCUAAUACCGGAUAAUCUAUUGAACCGCAUGGUUCAAUAGUGAAAGACGGUUUUGCUGUCACUUAUAGAUGGAUCCGCGCCGCAUUAGCUAGUUGGUAAGGUAACGGCUUACCAAGGCGACGAUGCGUAGCCGACCUGAGAGGGUGGUCGGCCGCACUGGAACUGAGACGCGGUCCAGACUCCUACGGGAGGCAGCAGUAGGGGAUCUUCCGCAGUGGGCGAAAGCCUGACGGAGCGACGCCGCGUGAGUGAUAAAGGUCUUCGGAUCGUAAAACUCUGUUAUUAGGGAAGAACAAAUGUGUAAGUAACUAUGCACGUCUUGACGGUACCUAGUCAGAAAGCCACGGCUAACUACGUG